GCGCCCAUAGCUCAACGGAUAGAGCGCAGCCCUCCGAAGGCUGAAAUCGGGGUUCGAAUCCUCGUGGGCGCG
Molecule: transfer RNA, 72 nt
Filed under: Candidatus Sungiibacteriota bacterium
Lineage: Bacteria; Candidatus Sungiibacteriota
Description: tRNA-Arg
Rfam family: tRNA
About the family: Transfer RNA (tRNA) molecules are approximately 80 nucleotides in length. Their secondary structure includes four short double-helical elements and three loops (D, anti-codon, and T loops). Further hydrogen bonds mediate the characteristic L-shaped molecular structure. tRNAs have two regions of fundamental functional importance: the anti-codon, which is responsible for specific mRNA codon recognition, and the 3' end, to which the tRNAs corresponding amino acid is attached (by aminoacyl-tRNA synthetases). tRNAs cope with the degeneracy of the genetic code in two manners: having more than one tRNA (with a specific anti-codon) for a particular amino acid; and 'wobble' base-pairing, i.e. permitting non-standard base-pairing at the 3rd anti-codon position.
Source: RNAcentral